AUGAAAAUCUUCAUUUAUCUCAGUCUGGUGAUCAUCCCAUCUAUUCUGGCAGACGUUCCAACAGGUUGUGCCACGAUCAAGAGUGUAGAAUCUGGAAAAUACCUUGCUGCUGACACCAAAACGCAAGGAGAGAAACUUAAAUUUAUCGUUGGCAAAAAUGAUGGCCAGGAACAGUGGGAAAUUGGUAAAGGUGACGAGGGUUACACUGUGAUGCAUAAAAAGAGUGGCGAAUUCAUGAUGGCAUUUGGAGCCGAUUUUGAUUCUUUAAGGUCUGUGUUUUCCGUUAAACCUGAGACAACGGUUCAUACGAAAAAUUGGAAGAUUGAGCCAGUGGGAGAGCAUUACAGUAUAAGCAACGUUAAACAUCCAGGAUGUCUGCACAUUGGAGAGUACGAUAAUGCUUACACCAAGGAUAAGGGAAACUGUUCAGAGGAUCAGUACCAAGUGGGAAAUAAAGUCGUGCUGAUUGCUUUUUAUUUAAACUUGUUAGAUUCUGCAGCUAUCCAUUGAUAAUUAUGAUGAAUACGAAAUAAAUUCAU
Molecule: RNA transcript, 539 nt
Organism: Culex quinquefasciatus (southern house mosquito)
Lineage: Eukaryota; Metazoa; Arthropoda; Insecta; Diptera; Culicidae
Exons: 1
Source: RefSeq, a predicted model, not a curated record